CCUACGGGUGGCAGCAGUGAGGAAUAUUGGUCAAUGGGCGCGAGCCUGAACCAGCCAAGUAGCGUGAAGGAUGACUGCCCUACGGGUUGUAAACUUCUUUUAUAAAGGAAUAAAGUGAGGCACGUGUGCCUUUUUGUAUGUACUUUAUGAAUAAGGAUCGGCUAACUCCGUGCCAGCAGCCGCGGUAAUACGGAGGAUGCGAGCGUUAUCCGGAUUUAUUGGGUUUAAAGGGUGCGUAGGCGGGCUGUUAAGUCAGCGGUCAAAUGUCGGGGCUCAACCCCGGCCUGCCGUUGAAACUGGCGGCCUCGAGUGGGCGAGAAGUAUGCGGAAUGCGUGGUGUAGCGGUGAAAUGCAUAGAUAUCACGCAGAACUCCGAUUGCGAAGGCAGCAUACCGGCGCCCGACUGACGCUGAGGCACGAAAGCGUGGGUAUCGAACAGGAUUAGAUACCCUGGUAGUC
RNAcentral lists this ribosomal RNA (459 nucleotides) under uncultured bacterium. Its description in RNAcentral is "partial 16S ribosomal RNA". It matches the Rfam family "Bacterial small subunit ribosomal RNA", at positions 338 to 795 of the family's 1533-position model. The record is from RNAcentral.